AUAUAUAUAGGUUGGUACACUAUCGGUAGCACGAAGUUCUCCGUGCUAUCAAGUUGUUUUCAAUCAUGCGGCUUCCAAAUCAACAAUCGACUCCGUUAGACUUGAUCUACACUAUUGAAAGUAUUUGGAAACUAAAUUUUAUAAUUUUUCGGCAUUAUUUACCUAUCAAACAAGUAGUCAAAAAAUGAACGGCUGAAAAUAAAAAUCUCAUAAAAAAAUGAUGAUAAAAGACUUAAAUUUAAGAUAAGAGGUAUUGAUCUUACUCUAAAUAGUGAAAAGAAUUUUCUAUAAAAAUUUCAUUAAAUUUGGAUUGUUUUACGCCGUUAAAUUCACAAACGCAUCACAUCUAUCGUUAAAAUUGUCAAUUUUGAGACCUUUUGAUCACUAACCAAAUGAUGUCGAAAAAUUAUGAAAUUUAGUUUCCAAAUAUUUUUAAUAGUGUAAAUCAAGUCUAACGGAACCGAUCGUCAAUUUGAAAGUCGCAUCAUUGAAAAUAACUUGGUAGCACGGAGGCCUCCGUGCUACUGACAGUAUACCAGCCUAGCUCUCUCUCUAU
Molecule: long non-coding RNA, 556 nt
Filed under: Ananas comosus (pineapple)
Lineage: Eukaryota; Viridiplantae; Streptophyta; Magnoliopsida; Poales; Bromeliaceae
Description: long non-coding RNA (ACOM_LNC001657)
Source: RNAcentral